GGAAUAUUGGACAAUGGGCGAAAGCCUGAUCCAGCCAUGCCGCGUGUGUGAAGAAGGUCUUCGGAUUGUAAAGCACUUUAAGUUGGGAGGAAGGGCAGUUGCCUAAUACGUAACUGUUUUGACGUUACCGACAGAAUAAGCACCGGCUAACUCUGUGCCAGCAGCCGCGGUAAUACAGAGGGUGCAAGCGUUAAUCGGAAUUACUGGGCGUAAAGCGCGCGUAGGUGGUUUGUUAAGUUGGAUGUGAAAUCCCCGGGCUCAACCUGGGAACUGCAUUCAAAACUGACUGACUAGAGUAUGGUAGAGGGUGGUGGAAUUUCCUGUGUAGCGGUGAAAUGCGUAGAUAUAGGAAGGAACACCAGUGGCGAAGGCGACCACCUGGACUAAUACUGACACUGAGGUGCGAAAGCGUGGGGAGCAAACAGGAUUAGAUACCCCAG
Molecule: ribosomal RNA, 440 nt
Filed under: uncultured Pseudomonas sp.
Lineage: Bacteria; Pseudomonadati; Pseudomonadota; Gammaproteobacteria; Pseudomonadales; Pseudomonadaceae
Description: bacterial SSU rRNA
Rfam family: Bacterial small subunit ribosomal RNA
Source: RNAcentral